Molecule: ribosomal RNA, 301 nt
Filed under: uncultured bacterium
Lineage: Bacteria
Description: partial 16S ribosomal RNA
Rfam family: Bacterial small subunit ribosomal RNA
Source: RNAcentral
CAGCCGCCGCGGGAAAACGGAGGGAGCUAGCGUUGUUCGGAAUUACUGGGCGUAAAGCGCACGUAGGCGGUUAUUCAAGUCAGAGGUGAAAGCCCGGGGCUCAACCCCGGAACUGCCUUUGAAACUAGAUGACUAGAAUCUUGGAGAGGUCAGUGGAAUUCCGAGUGUAGAGGUGAAAUUCGUAGAUAUUCGGAAGAACACCAGUGGCGAAGGCGACUGACUGGACAAGUAUUGACGCUGAGGUGCGAAAGCGUGGGGAGCAAACAGGAUUAGAUACCCCCGUAGUCCCCUGUCUCUUAUU